This 373-nucleotide ribosomal RNA is filed under the name uncultured organism. Its description in RNAcentral is "bacterial SSU rRNA". It matches the Rfam family "Bacterial small subunit ribosomal RNA", at positions 526 to 896 of the family's 1533-position model. The record is from RNAcentral.
CGGAGGGUGCAAGCGUUGUUCGGAAUCACUGGGCGUAAAGCGCGCGCAGGCGGGACGUGCAAGUCGGAAGUGAAAUCUCGGGGCUCAACUCCGAGGCUGCUCCCGAUACUGCCGACCUGGAGACCAGUAGAGGUGGGUAGAAUUCCCGGUGUAGCGGUGGAAUGCGUAGAGAUCGGGAAGAAUACCUGUGGCGAAGGCGGCCCACUGGGCUGGAUCUGACGCUGAGGCGCGAAAGCGUGGGGAGCAAACAGGAUUAGAUACCCUGGUAGUCCACGCCGUAAACGAUGGGCACUAGGUGCUGGGGGGAACGACCCCUUCGGUGCCGCAGCUAACGCGAUAAGUGCCCCGCCUGGGGAGUACGGCCGCAAGGCUG